GUGGGGAAUAUUGGACAAUGGGCGCAAGCCUGAUCCAGCCAUGCCGCGUGAGUGAUGAAGGCAUUAGGGUUGUAAAGCUCUUUUGUCCGGGCAGAUAAUGACUGUACCGGAAGAAUAAGCCCCGGCUAACUUCGUGCCAGCAGCCGCGGUAAUACGAAGGGGGCUAGCGUUGCUCGGAAUCACUGGGCGUUAAGGGCGCGUAGGCGGACUCUUAAGUCGGGGGUGAGAGCCCAGGGCUCAACCCUGGAAUUGCCUUCGAUACUGAGAGUCUUGAGGUCGAAAGAGGUUUGUAGAAUGGCGAGUGUAGAGGUGAAAUUCGUAGAUAUUCGCAAGAACACCAGUGGCGAAGGCGGGCAACUGGUCCGAUACGUACGCUGAGGCGCGAGAGCGUGGGGAGCAAACAGGAUUAGAAACCCGGGUAGUCC
This 425-nucleotide ribosomal RNA is filed under the name uncultured bacterium. RNAcentral's name for it is "partial 16S ribosomal RNA". It matches the Rfam family "Bacterial small subunit ribosomal RNA", at positions 354 to 796 of the family's 1533-position model. The record is from RNAcentral.